UCGAUUCUUGAAACCAUUACCUUUUCUGAAGCAAGACUAGCUAGCACCCAAGGUGCCCUGGCAGGUGUAGGUUUAUCCAUUGGCUACCCGUUGGAGCAUCACUUGCGGUGCUCUUUGUAAUGUCACUUGGUGGGUUUUGUAGAAAUGACUGUCUAGAGACGUUUUAUCUGUUGGAAAUAUGCCCUAGAGGCAAUAAUAAAAGUGUUAUUAUUAUAUUUCUUUGUUCAUGAUAAUAGUCUUUUAUUCAUGCUAUAACUGUAUUAUCCAGAAAUCGUAAUACACGUGUGAAUACAUAGACCACAAUAUGUCCCUAGUGAGCCUCUAGUUGACUAGCUCGUUGUGAUCAACAGAUAGUCAUGGUUUCCUGGCUAUGGACAUUGGAUGUCGUUGAUAACGGGAUCACAUCAUUAGGAGAAUGAUGUGAUGGACAAGACCCAAUCCUAAGCAUAGCACAAAGGUCGGUUAGUUCGUUUGCUAGAGCUUUUCCAAUGUCAAGUAUCUCUUCCUUAGACCAUGAGAUCGUGUAACUCCCGGAUACCGUAGGAGUGCUUUGGGUGUACCAAACGUCACAACGUAACUGGGUGACUAUAAAGGUGCAUUACAGGUAUCUCCGAAAGUGUCUGUUGGGUUGACACGGAUCGAGACUGGGAUUUGUCACUCCGUGUUACGGAGAGGUAUCACUGGGCCCACUCGGUAGUGCAUCAUCAUAAUGAGCUCAAGGUGGUCAAGUGUCUGGUCACGGGAUAAUGCAUUACGGUACGAGUAAAGUGACUUGCCGGUAACGAGACUGAACGAGGUAUUGGGAUACCGACGAUCGAGUCUCGGGCAAGUAACAUACCGUCUGAUAAAGGGAAUAGUAUACGGGGUUGCUUGAACCCUUGACAUCGUGGUUCAUCCGAUGACAACAUCGAGGAGCAUGUGGGAGCCAAUAUGGGUAUCCAGAUCCCGCUGUUGGUUAUUGACCUGAGAGCAUCUCGGUCAUGUCUGCAUGUCUCCCGAACCCGUAGGGUCUACACACUUAAGGUUCGGUGACGCUAGGGUUAUUAGGAAGACUUGUAUGUGAUUACCGAAUGUUGUUCGGAGUCCCGGAUGAGAUCCCGGACGUCACGAGGAGUUCCGGAAUGGUCCGGAGGUAAAGAUUUAUAUAUGGACAGUUGUUAAACGGACUCCGAAAAGUUUCGGGGGCAUACCGGUAUUGUACCGGGGCCACCGGAAGGGUUCCGGGGGUCCACCGGGAGGGGCCACCCCUCCCGGGGGGGGCACAUGGGCUGUGUGGGAGAGGGAGCCAGCCCCUGGUGGGCUGGGCGCGCCUCCCCACCUAGGCCCAUGCGGCUAAGGCAUGGGAGGGGGAAACCCUAAAGGGGGCGCCCCCCUAGCUUGGGGGGCAAGCCUCCCCUCUUUCCCCUCUCCCUUUGGCCGCCGCCCCCCCUCUAGGGUUUCCCCUAGAGGGCCGGCCCCCCUUGCCCCUUCCCCUAUGAAUAGAGGGGUGAGGGGAGGGCAGCGACACAACAAGCCAAGGCGCAGCCCCUCCCCUCCCCAACACCUCUCCUCCUCCGUACGUGCUUGGCGAAGCCCUGUCGGAGUACUGCUGCACCAACAACACCACGCCGUCGUGCUGCCGUUGGAGCUGUCUUCCUCAACCUCUCCUUCCUCCUUGUUGGAUCAAGACGGAGGAGACGUCGCCCGUACCGUACGUGUGUUGAACGCGGAGGUGCUGUCCGUUCAGCACUUGGUCAUCGGUGAUCCGAAUCACGUCGAGUACGACUCCAUUAUCACCAUCCCCUUGAACGCUUCCGCACACGAUCUACAAGUGGUAUGUAGAUGCAAACUCACUCCCUUGACUCGUUGCUUAGAUGAACUCAUAGAUGGAUCUUGGUGAAACCGUAGGAAAAAUUUUAAUUUUCUGCAACGUUCCCCAACAUUAUCUUGAUAAUUGACAACAUAAGAGUGCAAAAUAUUUGACAGCAGAUCGCUUAUGGUAAGACCUAGCUAUUAUCAAUAAUUUUAGUCCAUUAAAUGCGGUCUUAGUGAAAGGGUGUUCCUUUAUCAUGGUUGAAGGUUGCAUGACUUCUGCUAGGUGUUUUGAUACUUUUCAGUCUCUACUUGAAUGUUGCGUACCUAAUUUUUUAGUGGCCAACAAUCUUGCACUGAUUCUUGCUAGGGGUCAUCAAGGAAACUCAAUAGAUGGCUAUUUCAGUGGAGAUUAUACCAGAGAUGUUGUUUUGAAGUAAGCUCCUUCACACCAUUCUUUUGUAGUUCUUUCAGAAGUAAUGUUUCAUUCUUUUACUUGAGACUAGAGUGGUUGAUGCUCAUUCAUCUUAAUUUAAUACAGAGUAUAUGCCAGGAGAGAAAGAUAUACUUGAAACCCGAUGAGGUCAAUGAUGUGGAGAUUUUACCAGAGAUGUUGUUUUCAAGUAAGAUUUU
This 2424-nucleotide long non-coding RNA is filed under the name Triticum aestivum (bread wheat). Its description in RNAcentral is "long non-coding RNA (TAES_LNC026466)". The record is from RNAcentral. Lineage: Eukaryota; Viridiplantae; Streptophyta; Magnoliopsida; Poales; Poaceae.